GAUAGGAGAAUCAAUUUGGAUAUACAUAUAAAACAAAUAACAUAUAUUUAUUUAAAAUAAACAGGAAAUAAAAGAUAAUAUUAAUAUAUUUCCUUCAAGAGAGCUACUUGAUAUGAGAGAUCAUACCUGGGAAAGCGAGAGUAAAAGAAAUAUACUUCAAUCCUUCAUUAUUCUUUGUCUUUGUUCCCUAGUCCUAAUCAGAUGUCCACUGAUGGGACAGGGACAUGGAAUCACCCUUCACUGCUAUAUUUUUCCCAUCUUUUGUUUCAAGUCUCAGGGCAGAUUGACUUAAUUUAUGUUAGUCUAGCUCUGUUCCAGAUAAAACUUAUUGAUCUUUUCUUUCACCUUUUUCCCAGGAAAGAUGACGUCUUGCAUUUUCCUUUUUUUAUUUUUUUAUUUUCUUUUUUUAAUCUUUUGAGACACCUGCAUGUAAUGUAACUUUUUGUUUGAUCAUAUAUUUUUUAUCGUUUA
This 471-nucleotide long non-coding RNA is filed under the name Androctonus crassicauda. The record is from RNAcentral. Lineage: Eukaryota; Metazoa; Arthropoda; Arachnida; Scorpiones; Buthidae.